RNAcentral lists this ribosomal RNA (915 nucleotides) under uncultured marine archaeon. RNAcentral describes it as "bacterial SSU rRNA". It matches the Rfam family "Archaeal small subunit ribosomal RNA", at positions 1 to 922 of the family's 1478-position model. The record is from RNAcentral.
UUCCGGUUGAUCCCGCCGGAGGCUACCGCUAUUGGAGUUCGAUUAAGCCAUGCGAGUCGCGAGUCUUAGGGACUCGGCGUACCGCUCAGUAACACGUGGGUAACCUGCCCUAUGCUGGGGGAUAACCUCGGGAAACUGAGAAUAAUACCCCAUAGUUCACCACGCCUGGAACGGUGGGUGGACCAAAGCUCCGGCGGCAUAGGAUGGGCCUGUGGCGUAUCAGGUUGUAGGGGGUGUAAUGUACCCUCUAGCCCUCUACGCGUACGGGUGUUGAGAGACAUCGCCCGGAGAUGGAUUCUGAGACACGAAUCCAGACCCUACGGGGUGCAGCAGGCGCGAAAACUUGGCAAUGCGAGAAAUCGUGACCAGGGAACUCCAAGUGCAUCGGGUAAGACCGAUGCUUUUCUUGACUCUUCAAAGGUCUUGGAAUAAGGGGUGGGUAAGGACGGUGCCAGCCGCCGCGGUAAUACCGGCGCCCCAAGUGGUAGUCGCUUUUAUUGGGCCUAAAACGUCCGUAGCCGGUCUGGUACAUUCGUGGGUAAAUCAACCAGCUCAACUGGUUGAAUUCUGCGAGCACGGCCAGACUUGGGACCGGGAGAGGUGUGGGGUACUCUCAGGGUAGGGGUAAAAUCCUGUCAUCCUGAGGGGACCACCUGUUGCGAAGGCGCCACACUAGAACGGAUCCGACGGUCAGGGACGAAGCCUAGGGGCACGAACCGGAUUAGAUACCCGGGUAGUCCUAGGUGUAAACGCUGUGGACUUGAUGUUGGGGGCGCUCCGAGCGCACUCAGUGUCGAAGCGAAGGUGAUAAGUCCACUGCCUGGGGAGUACGGUCGCAAGGCUGAAACUUAAAGGAAUUGGCGGGGGAGCACCGCAACCUGAGGAUUGUGCGGUUUAAUUGGAGUCAACGCCGGA